UGCAGGAAGACGGCUCUAUGAGUUGUAAACUGCUUUUGUACGAGGGUAAACGCAGAUACGUGUAUCUGCCUGAAAGUAUCGUACGAAUAAGGAUCGGCUAACUCCGUGCCAGCAGCCGCGGUAAUACGGAGGAUCCAAGCGUUAUCCGGAUUUAUUGGGUUUAAAGGGUGCGUAGGCGGUUUAGUAAGUCAGCGGUGAAAUUUUGGUGCUUAACACCAAACGUGCCGUUGAUACUGCUGGGCUAGAGAGUAGUUGCGGUAGGCGGAAUGUAUGGUGUAGCGGUGAAAUGCUUAGAGAUCAUACAGAACACCGAUUGCGAAGGCAGCUUACCAAACUAUAUCUGACGUUGAGGCACGAAAGCGUGGGGAGCAAACAGGAUUAGAUACCCUGGUAGUCCACGCAGUAAACGAUGAUAGCUCGUUGUCGGCGAUACACAGUCGGUGACUAAGAGAAAUCGAUAAGCUAUCCACCUGGGGAGUACGUUCGCAAGAAUGAAACUCAAAGGAAUUGACGGGGGCCCGCACAAGCGGAGGAACAUGUGGUUUAAUUCGAUGAUACGCGAGGAACCUUACCCGGGCUUGAAAGUUACUGACGAUUCUGGAAACAGGAUUUCCCUUCGGGGCAGGAAACUAGGUGCUGCAUGGUUGUCGUCAGCUCGUGCCGUGAGGUGUCGGGUUAAGUCCCAUAACGAGCGCAACCCCUACUGAUAGUUGCCAUCAGAGCGUUUGAGCGAUCAAACAAGCUGGGCACUCUAUCGGGACUGCCGGUGAUAAGCCGAGAGGAAGGUGGGGAUGACGUCAAAUCAGCACGGCCCUUACGUCCGGGGCGACACACGUGUUACAAUGGGGGGUACAGAGGGCAGCCACCCAGUGAUGGGGAGCGAAUCUCGAAAGCCUAUCUCAGUUCGGAUUGGAGGCUGAAACUCGCCUCCAUGAAGUUGGAUUCGCUAGUAAUCGCGCAUCAGCCAUGGCGCGGUGAAUACGUUCCCGGGCCUUGUACACACCGCCCGUCAAGCCAUGGGAGCCGGGGGUGCCUGAAGUUCGUGACCGAAAGGAGCGACCUAGGGCAAAACC
RNAcentral lists this ribosomal RNA (1073 nucleotides) under human gut metagenome. Its description in RNAcentral is "bacterial SSU rRNA". It matches the Rfam family "Bacterial small subunit ribosomal RNA", at positions 402 to 1469 of the family's 1533-position model. The record is from RNAcentral.